UGGGGAAUCUUGCGCAAUGGGGGAAACCCUGACGCAGCGACGCCGCGUGCGGGAUGAAGGCCUUCGGGUUGUAAACCGCUUUCAGCAGGGACGAGGCCUUAUGGUGACGGUACCUGCAGAAGAAGCUCCGGCUAAAUACGUGCCAGCAGCCGCGGUAAUACGUAUGGAGCAAGCGUUAUCCGGAUUCAUUGGGCGUAAAGCGCUCGUAGGCGGUCUGUUAGGUCGGCAAGUUAAAUCCGGGGGCUCAACCCCCGUCCGCUUCCGAUACCGGCAGACUUGAGUUUGGUAGGGGAAGGUGGAAUUCCUAGUGUAGCGGUGGAAUGCGCAGAUAUUAGGAGGAAUACCGGUGGCGAAGGCGACUUUCUGGCCAUAAACUGACGCUGAGGUACGAAAGCGUGGGUAGCAAACAGG
Molecule: ribosomal RNA, 411 nt
Filed under: Verrucomicrobiota bacterium
Lineage: Bacteria; Pseudomonadati; Verrucomicrobiota
Description: Verrucomicrobia bacterium partial 16S ribosomal RNA
Rfam family: Bacterial small subunit ribosomal RNA
Source: RNAcentral